RNAcentral lists this unclassified non-coding RNA (338 nucleotides) under Hevea brasiliensis (rubber tree). The record is from RNAcentral. Lineage: Eukaryota; Viridiplantae; Streptophyta; Magnoliopsida; Malpighiales; Euphorbiaceae.
CAGUAGACACCAUCAUAUGGUGCUGCAAACUUUGUGGCGUCUACAGUGGCAUACUUUAUCCAAGCAGGGAUACGAUCUACCCACGCUCCCUCGCCAUGCUUGAAACGGAACUUAACUCUGGAGUUGUGUGGAAUGGCUGGCUUACUGUCAACAUCAGGAAUUCUAAUACUCCAAACACCAAACUGGUCCUUCUCCAUCAUGUGGUUGGAACCGUUCCAUCCGUUGAAAUCACCAAUAACUUCUGCUUCCUGAGCAGCAGGAGCCCAUUCACGAUAGACUAUGCAACCAUCUUCCCUGUUGAAUCCAAAUUUUAAAUAACCUUGAGCAAAUUCCUCAAG